Molecule: ribosomal RNA, 425 nt
Filed under: uncultured bacterium
Lineage: Bacteria
Description: partial 16S ribosomal RNA
Rfam family: Bacterial small subunit ribosomal RNA
Source: RNAcentral
GUGGGGAAUAUUGGGCAAUGGGCGAAAGCCUGACCCAGCAACGCCGCGUGAAGGAAGAAGGUCUUCGGAUCGUAAACUUCUAUCCUUGGUGAAGAUAAUGACGGUAGCCGAGAAGGAAGCCCCGGCUAACUACGUGCCAGCAGCCGCGGUAAUACGUAGGGGGCAAGCGUUGUCCGGAAUGAUUGGGCGUAAAGGGCGCGUAGGCGGCCUGGUAAGUCUGGAGUGAAAGUCCUGCUUUUAAGGUGGGAAUUGCUUUGGAUACUGUCGGGCUUGAGUGCAGGAGAGGUAAGUGGAAUUCCCGGUGUAGCGGUGAAAUGCGUAGAGAUCGGGAGGAACACCAGUGGCGAAGGCGACUUACUGGACUGUAACUGACACUGAGGCUCGAAAGCCAGGGGAGCGAACGGGAUUAGAUACCCGUGUAGUCC